AUGAUAUUUCAGGCCCAAGUGUCUAAGGAGUCUAAGUCAGCUUUCCAGUAUGUACGUAUUGAUCCCAUCUCCUGGGUUUCCCCAGUUGCUCCAGCUGCUGGGGUGGCAGAUCCUCAGAGUGUAUUUUCCCACACAUACCUAACAGGUAUGAGCGGGGGAGCUGUAACCAGUUCACAUACACAGCUGGACGUUACAGUUCGAGAGGACGUUUACAGUUCCGGUCCACCGGAUACUCUGGGCCUGGGAGAAGCAGCUGUGACCGGCGGUCAUACCAACACCACGGGAUGGCCGGAGCCCCAGGGCGCCCUCCUUCGGACGGAAACGCCAGUCGCAGGGGAACCGCACAGCGCCGCGCCCCACACGGACGCUACGGACGCAGUCACCGCUGAUCCGAAGGGAGUCCGCGACGGCUUCAGUCACCUAGGCACCACACCACAGACACAAUCAGCUGUUCCCGCAGGGGAACAGUACAUCACUUCUGGUCAGGGUCCUGAAGGUGCAGAAAACGUGGAACUGGAGGAUACCUGCUGACUUCCACAUCAAGCCACGUGUCAAGAUCUUGCGUUUCAGAUUUCAGUGUAAGGACCAGUGGGCCUGGAGGAAGACCGAUGAGCCGGCCCGUUAAUAAUCGGAUCGGGCUGCCUGUUCGUCCGUUUUCACUAUUUAAGCACAAAAGAACGUCCCUUUCACAGCAUCUGCCGGGAAAUAUACUGCAGUUUUAUGUAAUAUCUUAAGACAAAAAAAAAAGAGGAAAAGUCUGGAUUGAUGUGCUAAACUGUAAAAAGCUGAAAACAAUUUGAAACUUACAGUGCCUGCAAGUACUGUAUUUUUAUAUAUUUAAGCAAUACUCAUUACCAGUGUGACAAUUUGUAAACUGCCAAAUGUCUAUCACUUGAAAGUAAUCUUUACAUUAAAGUUAUCACCCAUUUUGAACAUCAGCAUGUACAGCUACUGUUGAUGACCUCACAACGGAGUCUCCAUUCUGCUCCCGUUAUGCGCAUCAUGGUCAAUGCACCCAAAUAAUGUCAAGUUUCCAGUUUUUUAAUGCUUAAUGUUAUUCUCCAAAUAAUCUUUCUGUAACAAAAGAUGUUAGCUCAUGCUUGGUUGCUAACAUUCAUUUUCAAUACUUUUCCUGAAGUAAAAAACACAUUAUACCACCUUAAUUUGUUUUAACCAAUAAAUAGCAAACAGUUCUUUAUAAGCCCA
RNAcentral lists this long non-coding RNA (1206 nucleotides) under Scleropages formosus (Asian bonytongue). Its description in RNAcentral is "lncRNA (ENSSFOG00015027686.1)". Lineage: Eukaryota; Metazoa; Chordata; Actinopteri; Osteoglossiformes; Osteoglossidae. The record is from RNAcentral.